Molecule: ribosomal RNA, 497 nt
Filed under: uncultured bacterium
Lineage: Bacteria
Description: partial 16S ribosomal RNA
Rfam family: Bacterial small subunit ribosomal RNA
Source: RNAcentral
GAUGAACGCUGGCGGCGUGCCUAAUACAUGCAAGUCGAGCGAACAGAUGAGGAGCUUGCUCCUCUGACGUUAGCGGCGGACGGGUGAGUAACACGUGGAUAACCUACCUAUAAGACUGGGAUAACUUCGGGAAACCGGAGCUAAUACCGGAUAAUAUAUUGAACCGCAUGGUUCAAUAGUGAAAGACGGUUUUGCUGUCACUUAUAGAUGGAUCCGCGCCGCAUUAGCUAGUUGGUAAGGUAACGGCUUACCAAGGCAACGAUGCGUAGCCGACCUGAGAGGGUGAUCGGCCACACUAGAACUGAGACACGGUCCAGACUCCUGAGGGAGGCAGCAGUAGGGAAUCUUCCGCAAUAGGCGAAAGCCUGACGGAGCAACGCCGCGUGAGUGAUGACGGUCUUCGGAUCGUAAAACUCUGUUAUUAGGGAAGAACAAAUGUGUAAGUAACUAUGCACGUCUUGACGGUACCUAAUCAGAAAGCCACGGCUAACUACGUG